RNAcentral lists this ribosomal RNA (468 nucleotides) under uncultured bacterium. RNAcentral's name for it is "partial 16S ribosomal RNA". It matches the Rfam family "Bacterial small subunit ribosomal RNA", at positions 28 to 507 of the family's 1533-position model. The record is from RNAcentral.
GACGAACGCUGGCGGCGUGCUUAACACAUGCAAGUCGAACGGAAAGGCCCUGCUUUUGUGGGGUGCUCGAGUGGCGAACGGGUGAGCAACACGUGAGUAACCUGCCCUUGACUUUGGGAUAACUUCAGGAAACUGGGGCUAAUACCGGAUAGGAGCUCCUGCUGCAUGGUGGGGGUUGGAAAGUUUCGGCGGUUGGGGAUGGACUCGCGGCUUAUCAGCUUGUUGGUGGGGUAGUGGCUUACCAAGGCUUUGACGGGUAGCCGGCCUGAGAGGGUGACCGGCCACAUUGGGACUGAGAUACGGCCCAGACUCCUACGGGAGGCAGCAGUGGGGAAUAUUGCACAAUGGGCGGAAGCCUGACGCAGCAACGCCGCGUGCGGGAUGACGGCCUUCGGGUUGUAAACCGCUUUCGCCUGUGACGAAGCGUGAGUGACGGUAAUGGGUAAAGAAGCACCGGCUAACUACGUG